AAACAGCAGGGCUUCCCAACCUACGAGGGGAGGGCUGUUUCUCCACAGUGGUGACUUGCAAGGACAAAACCUGUGUGUGUGAGAGAGACAUUGCUCUCCCAGAGGCUGCAACAACAGGCCCCAGUUCAAGACAUCUCAGUCCUGUGCUUGCCUCAGGCAUGGUUCAGAGUCUCCACUUCUUCACCUAUAAAUGGGAAAUCACCUGAUUUCCAGAUAUUCAUUCAGCAAGAAGACCCAUGGGAGGACAUGACGUGUGCGCCUGCUCUUUCUCAGUCCCACAGAAGAGGAGGAUGGUGUCACCACCCAGGCAGACGUCCCUCUGUCCAGGCAUGUCCAGCAACAGCACAUUGCACGUUGCUGAUUCAAAAUGAAUAUUAAACACAGAACCUCGCAGAGGCCAGCCCUGCAGGGCAGGCAAUGAA
This 422-nucleotide long non-coding RNA is filed under the name Rattus norvegicus (Norway rat). RNAcentral's name for it is "long non-coding RNA NONRATT005766". The record is from RNAcentral. Lineage: Eukaryota; Metazoa; Chordata; Mammalia; Rodentia; Muridae.